Molecule: ribosomal RNA, 464 nt
Filed under: uncultured bacterium
Lineage: Bacteria
Description: partial 16S ribosomal RNA
Rfam family: Bacterial small subunit ribosomal RNA
Source: RNAcentral
CCUACGGGUGGCAGCAGUGGGGAAUAUUGCGCAAUGGGCGAAAGCCUGACGCAGCGACGCCGCGUGAGGGAUGAAGGUCUUCGGAUCGUAAACCUCUGUCAGCAGGGAAGAACGGUCACUGUGCUAAUCAGCAGUGAAUUGACGGUACCUGCACAGGAAGCACCGGCUAACUCCGUGCCAGCAGCCGCGGUAAUACGGAGGGUGCGAGCGUGAAUCGGAAUUACUGGGCGUAAAGCGCUCGUAGGCGGUAUGUCAAGUCAAGGGUGAAAUCCCCGCGCUCAACGUGGGAACUGCCUUUGAAACUGUCAAACUGGAGUAUGUGAGAGGAUAGUGGAAUUCCAGGUGUAGGAGUGAAAGCCGUAGAUAUCUGGAGGAACAUCAGUGGCGAAGGCGACUAUCUGGCACAUAACUGACGCUAGGAGCGAAAGCGUGGGUAGCAAACAGGAUUAGAUACCCUAGUAGUC